Molecule: long non-coding RNA, 365 nt
Organism: Mustela erminea (ermine)
Lineage: Eukaryota; Metazoa; Chordata; Mammalia; Carnivora; Mustelidae
Exons: 3
Source: RefSeq, a predicted model, not a curated record
UCAUAAUGAAAUCGGAACCUAAGGACAUAACCUCAGAUGUGACAAGAGGAAUCCUGUAUUAACUGGGUAACUACUGGUCCUAAAGAAGCUUCAACUCAUCUACUACAAAUGGACGGGUUGUACAACAGAUGCGAAACUAAUGUAAAAUAUCCCGGCUGAAGCCCAAAGCUCGCCAAAAGCCCAUGGCCUAUAGACUACUCUCCAGCACAGCUGAACACUUUUCUUUCCACCAGUUGAGUUACAUGCUUACCGAAAGUCAACCUUGACUGUCCACAAAACAGUUCCUAUCAGUUCAUAUCUGAUGUCAAUACAUAGUUGAACUAAAUGUUAUAGGAAAAUAAUAAGCUUCAAAAAUAAAAUUAUUU